CACAGAACACAGAGGACUUUUAGGGCAGUGAAACUACUCUGUAUGAUACUAUAGUAAUGGAUACAGGCCAUUGUACUUUUGUUCAAACCUAUAGAAUGCCCAAGACCGAGAAAUGAACCCUAUGUAAACUAUGGCCUUGGGGUGAUGAUUAUGUGUCAGGGUAGAUUCAUCACUUGUAACAAACGUAACACUCUGGAGGGGAUGUUGAUAAUGAAAUAGAAGCUGUGCCUGGGUGGGGUUAGGAGGUGAGGUAUAUGGGAAAUCUCUGCCCCUUCCUCUCAAUUUUGCUGUAAAAUAAAACUGCACUGAAAAAAAUUAAGUCUUAAAACACACAAAACAAAACAAAACAAAACAAAACAAAACAAAACCUUUUUAUACUACAUGGAUGUUUAAUUUUAUCAAAUACAUAUUGCAAUCUUACAGUUUUUCUCCUUCAAAUAUGUAAUGGAGUCAAUUACAUGAAUAGGUUAAUCACUCUUUUCAAUUACAUCUUUUUGCUGCCAUCUGUUUCCUGCCACAUCUAAAUAAUUCUCUAGUGCUUUCAUGAGUCAAAUCUGCUAUUCACUGUGUUUUGAAUUCUUCCCAAAUGUUCCUCCCUCCCUCCCAAUUUCUUUCAUCUUUUCCUGGCCUUAGGUUCCCAUCUUUCUAUCUCUUAAGAGCUGGUUUUCUUCAGUGUGGAGUUAUGUUUACAGAGUGUAUUUGUAAGUCCUGAAGGGUUAAUGAGGUAAUUGGUGAAACAUCAGCUAUGUUCUGGUCUCAAGGGUGUCGAAUGAGAUAGCACUAUGAGGACAGAGCCCCAUGAUCCCCUAAAGGAUACUUUAGAUACAACACUUGCUGUACCUCCCUGACAUUCCUUGAAACCAUAAGCACUCCCUUCAUGCCUUCAUGUAGCCACCAGAUGUAUGUCUGGCUAAUGUCUAAAGACCCUUUGUGCUCUCCUUGCUUUGAUGUUCUUUGAUACUUCUAUCUAAAUAAAAACUGUGUGCAGUCUGCUGCGGCUGCUGCUGUUCUUGCUGGCAGAGAGAGCACUGCACGUACGCUCAGCCUAAGUAUCUGAGAAUUUUUUCUUCAGAGUGCAGCAACAAGUGGCGCCUGAAAGGGACCAAGAGAAUCUACUGGCUCCAGGCUGUGUACCUCACCUCUCAAGCCCAAAAACAGAAAAGGACAUCUGUGCAUUCAGUUAUCAACAUGAUGGUGUCUCUUUGCUCCCGUAACAAGUCAUCCAAGGUAUACUUCACCAAUACCCAGAUGCUCACCACUUCUGUGACAACGCCUUUUCCUGCUAAUAAAAAGAUAAAAGGGGGUAGAUGGUGAGUUAUUUUUAGAGAGUGUAUUUGUAAGUCCUGAAGGGUGAAUGAGGUAAUUGCUGAAACAUCAGCUAUGUUCUGGUCUCAAGGCUGUCGAAUGAGAUAGCACUAUGAGGACAGAGCCCCAUGAUCCCCUAAAGGAUACUUUAGAUACAACACCUGCUGUACCUCCCUGACAUUCCUUGAAACCACAAGCACUCCCUUCAUGCCUUCGUGUAGCCACCAGAUGUAUGUCUGGCUAAUGUCUAAAGACCCUUUGUGCUCUCUUUCCUUGCUUUGAUAUUCUUUGAUACUUCUAUCUAAAUAAAAACUAUGUGCAGUCUGCUGCUGCUGUUCUCUCUGGCAGAGACAACCUUGUAUGUCUUCUCAGUCUAAGUGUCUGAGAACUUUUUCUUCAGUGCGUGGCUACCU
Long non-coding RNA from Panthera leo (lion), 1718 nucleotides. The record is from Ensembl. NCBI's taxonomy places the organism in Eukaryota, Metazoa, Chordata, Mammalia, Carnivora, Felidae.